UGCAAGUCGAACGAGAAUCUACUGAAGGAGGAUUCGUCCAACGGAAGUAGAGGAAAGUGGCGGACGGGUGAGUAACGCGUGAGGAACCUGCCUUGAAGAGGGGGACAACAGUUGGAAACGACUGCUAAUACCGCAUGAAGCAUAGGGGUCGCAUGAUUCUUAUGCCAAAGAUUUAUCGCUUCAAGAUGGCCUCGCGUCUGAUUAGCUAGUUGGCGGGGUAACGGCCCACCAAGGCGACGAUCAGUAGCCGGACUGAGAGGUUGAACGGCCACAUUGGGACUGAGAUACGGCCCAGACUCCUACGGGAGGCAGCAGUGGGGAAUAUUGGGCAAUGGGCGCAAGCCUGACCCAGCAACGCCGCGUGAAGGAAGAAGGCUUUCGGGUUGUAAACUUCUUUUAAGAGGGAAGAGCAGAAGACGGUACCUCUAGAAUAAGCCACGGCUAACUACGUGCCAGCAGCCGCGGUAAU
Molecule: ribosomal RNA, 469 nt
Filed under: uncultured bacterium
Lineage: Bacteria
Description: bacterial SSU rRNA
Rfam family: Bacterial small subunit ribosomal RNA
Source: RNAcentral